CAGCCGCCACGGUAAUACGAAGGGUGCAAGCGUUAAUCGGAAUUACUGGGCGUAAAGCGCACGCAGGCGGUUUGUUAAGUCAGAUGUGAAAUCCCCGAGCUUAACUUGGGAAUGGCAAUGGAAACUGGACGGCUAGAGCGUGUCAGAGGAUGGUGGAAUUCCCGGUGUAGCAGUGAAAUGCGUAGAGAUCGGAAGGAACAUCUGUGGCGAAGGCGACUAUCUGGGCCAACACUGACACUGAGGCACGAAAGCGUGGGGAGCAAACAGGAUUAGAUACCCGAGUAGUCCCUGUCUCUUAUAC
This 301-nucleotide ribosomal RNA is filed under the name uncultured bacterium. Its description in RNAcentral is "partial 16S ribosomal RNA". It matches the Rfam family "Bacterial small subunit ribosomal RNA", at positions 509 to 807 of the family's 1533-position model. The record is from RNAcentral.